AGAGUUUGAUCAUGGCUCAGAUUGAACGCUGGCGGAAUGCUUUACACAUGCAAGUCGAACGGCAGCACGGGAGCUUGCUCCUGGUGGCGAGUGGCGAACGGGUGAGUAAUGCGUCGGAACGUACCGAGUAAUGGGGGAUAACGCAGCGAAAGCUGUGCUAAUACCGCAUACGCCCUGAGGGGGAAAGUGGGGGAUCGCAAGACCUCACGUUAUUCGAGCGGCCGACGUCUGAUUAGCUAGUUGGUGGGGUAAUGGCCUACCAAGGCGACGAUCAGUAGCGGGUCUGAGAGGAUGAUCCGCCACACUGGGACUGAGACACGGCCCAGACUCCUACGGGAGGCAGCAGUGGGGAAUUUUGGACAAUGGGGGCAACCCUGAUCCAGCCAUUCCGCGUGAGUGAAGAAGGCCUUCGGGUUGUAAAGCUCUUUCAGCUGGAACGAAACGGUACGCUCUAACAUAGCGUGCUAAUGACGGUACCGGCAGAAGAAGCACCGGCUAACUACGUGCCAGCAGCCGCGGUAAUACGUAGGGUGCGAGCGUUAAUCGGAAUUACUGGGCGUAAAGCGUGCGCAGGCGGAUUGUUAAGCAAGACGUGAAAGCCCCGGGCUUAACCUGGGAAUGGCGUUUUGAACUGGCAGUCUAGAGUGCGUCAGAGGGGGGUGGAAUUCCACGUGUAGCAGUGAAAUGCGUAGAGAUGUGGAGGAACACCAAUGGCGAAGGCAGCCCCCUGGGAUGACACUGACGCUCAUGUACGAAAGCGUGGGUAGCAAACAGGAUUAGAUACCCUGGUAGUCCACGCCCUAAACGAUGUCAACUGGUUGUUGGGGGAGUGAAAUCCCUUAGUAACGAAGCUAACGCGUGAAGUUGACCGCCUGGGGAGUACGGUCGCAAGAUUAAAACUCAAA
This 905-nucleotide ribosomal RNA is filed under the name uncultured bacterium. RNAcentral describes it as "bacterial SSU rRNA". It matches the Rfam family "Bacterial small subunit ribosomal RNA", at positions 8 to 905 of the family's 1533-position model. The record is from RNAcentral.